UGGGGAAUUUUGGACAAUGGGCGCAAGCCUGAUCCAGCCAUGCCGCGUGCGGGAAGAAGGCCUUCGGGUUGUAAACCGCUUUUGUCAGGGAAGAAAUCUUCUGAGUUAAUACCUCGGGAGGAUGACGGUACCUGAAGAAUAAGCACCGGCUAACUACGUGCCAGCAGCCGCGGUAAUACGUAGGGUGCAAGCGUUAAUCGGAAUUACUGGGCGUAAAGCGUGCGCAGGCGGUUUUGUAAGACAGAGGUGGAAUCCCCGGGCUCAACCUGGGAACUGCCUUUGUGACUGCAAGGCUGGAGUGCGGCAGAGGGGGGAUGGAAUUCCGCGUGUAGCAGUGAAAUGCGUAGAUAUGCGGAGGAACACCGAUGGCGAAGGCAAUCCCCUGGGCCUGCACUGACGCUCAUGCACGAAAGCGUGGGGAGCAAAACAGGAUUAGAUACCCUGGUAGUCCACGCCCUAAACGAUGUCAACUGGUUGUU
RNAcentral lists this ribosomal RNA (479 nucleotides) under uncultured bacterium. RNAcentral's name for it is "partial 16S ribosomal RNA". It matches the Rfam family "Bacterial small subunit ribosomal RNA", at positions 355 to 824 of the family's 1533-position model. The record is from RNAcentral.